CACAGGUCCGCCUGAAGGUGCAGGCUUCCCCAGGGUCCCUCUGUGCCAUCCACACCAUGGAUCAGCCCACAUCGUACUAUGGUCUCGAGGCUGCCCUCAGCUCCAAAGUGGUCUAUAACUUACGCCCAUCUUCUGAAGACAACUCUUAUUCUGAAUAUGGAGCAAUCUGUGUUGUCAAUAACAUGGGUAUACAUCCAGGAACCUCUCUACAGUUCAACUCAUUUCAUGAGCAUAUCGCAGCCGCUAUACCACUCAACCCGUUUGAUGUGCCUAUCCUCACAUACAAAUGGCGGCACGCUAGGCAGGCAGCAGAGUUUCGCAGCUCUCCGGACCCGUGCGACCCGGGUGUGGUAGGAGCCAUCCCCCCCCCCCACCUCUCCAUCCCUGCCUUAUGCUCCUCUUCCUCACAGGGAGGGCUUCCUGGGGUGCUGGGGCACCCGGUCCCCCACCCAUCCCACACCCGUGCUCACAAACCAUCCUCCUACAUCCCCCACGCACUGCACCCUGCUCCCAGCCUGCGGCAGGCAUGCGGAUUGCGCCUGUCCGUCUGGGCAUGGUGGCUUCCCGUGGGGAUGGGGCUAAGCUCUGGCCUUCCAUCGUGAACCUGGGCUUGGAGUGAGCAGCCAAGGAGAGGCCUCCCAUCGGCAGCACUGGGUUGGGGCUGGCUGGGGACGGGGUGAGCAGAGCAGACCCAGCAGGUCACGGCCACCUGCCCCAGUGCAGCCGUGCGCCCCGGCACUCCUUUUCCCCUCCUGCGCUCCUGCUGCAGUGUGCCAGGGGGUCCUGAUUUCUGGGAGCUCCUUUUUGGCUUGAAGUGCGAGAUGAUUCCUCAUUUCAGAAAGGGUCAGAAAGGUGUUUUGGCAAUGCUGGUCUUCAGCGCACUGUGGUUCCCUCUUGUGUGUCACAUUUCAGCGUGCAGCUUUGAGAACUGUCACCAACACCGUCCUGAACAGCUCUAUGGCAUUCCAAACAGUGGGUGAGCGGGGAUGGUCUGCAAGAGCCCCCACGCCAGCUGCUGAAGGACAGAUGGGGGUCGUGCAGCCCCUGUCCUUCCUGGCAGCGCAUUCAAGCUGUGCCCAUCAGCAGGGCUGGAGAAGUACGAACAGGAAGGUGAGAGAGAGCCCCAACCCCGGCAGGACCUAGUACCGCAGAAGGAUUUUCCUGGGACGUGGCUGUGGGAGCUGGUCCCUGUGGGGUAAGUAAGGAGCCCUAGAAGACCUCAAGCCAGGGGACUGCCCGUAUCACAUCAGCUUCCCCUCUGGGUGCAGCACCCAGACCACUCGGUCGGUGUCCCUGUGUCCAGGAGUGGCACUGGGACACAUCCAGACGCUUCCCUCCAAACUCAGCACCAGCCCCAGGACAGACUGUGGCAAACCAAGUCCUGCAGGCAGGGGAUGCUGUAAGAGAGAACCAGGAGCACUGGUGGCACCUCUGCCUGCCCCAAACAUGCGAUGACCACCGGUGCUUGGACCACGGGUGGCUGGCACGCUCCUUCUGCUGGCUCUGCCCAUCAGGCCCAGCCAGCAAGGACUGUCCAUCUCCCACCGCCCCGCAGGGAGGAGGGCUCCGUGGAGGUGCCGGUGACGGUGCCCGACGCCAUCA
Molecule: long non-coding RNA, 1602 nt
Filed under: Anser brachyrhynchus (Pink-footed goose)
Lineage: Eukaryota; Metazoa; Chordata; Aves; Anseriformes; Anatidae
Description: lncRNA (ENSABRG00000010023.1)
Source: RNAcentral